GAGUUUGAUCAUGGCUCAGGAUGAACGCUGGCGGCGUGCCUAAUACAUGCAAGUCGAGCGAACGGACGAGAAGCUUGCUUCUCUGAUGUUAGCGGCGGACGGGUGAGUAACACGUGGAUAACCUACCUAUAAGACUGGGAUAACUUCGGGAAACCGGAGCUAAUACCGGAUAAUAUUUUGAACCGCAUGGUUCAAAAGUGAAAGACGGUCUUGCUGUCACUUAUAGAUGGAUCCGCGCUGCAUUAGCUAGUUGGUAAGGUAACGGCUUACCAAGGCAACGAUGCAUAGCGACCUGAGAGGGUGAUCGGCCACACUGGAACUGAGACACGGUCCAGACUCCUACGGGAGGCAGCAGUAGGGAAUCUUCCGCAAUGGGCGAAAGCCUGACGGAGCAACGCCGCGUGAGUGAUGAAGGUCUUCGGAUCGUAAAACUCUGUUAUUAGGGAAGAACAUAUGUGUAAGUAACUGUGCACAUCUUGACGGUACCUAAUCAGAAAGCCACGGCUAACUAC
RNAcentral lists this ribosomal RNA (512 nucleotides) under uncultured microorganism. RNAcentral's name for it is "bacterial SSU rRNA". It matches the Rfam family "Bacterial small subunit ribosomal RNA", at positions 9 to 504 of the family's 1533-position model. The record is from RNAcentral.